GACAGAGGUGCCGAGCGUUAGGCGGAAUCACUGGGCUUAAAGCGUGUGUAGGCGGGCCGUUAAGUGUCUUGUGAAAUCCCCCGGCUCAACCGGGGAAUUGCUGGGCAUACUGGCGGUCUUGAGCAGUUCAGGGGCAGAUGGAACAAGUGGUGGAGCGGUGAAAUGCGUAGAUAUUCGCAAGAACACCAGUGGCGAAGGCGGCUCACUGGCCCGAUACUGACGCUGAGGUGCGAAAGCGUGGGGAGCAAACAGG
This 253-nucleotide ribosomal RNA is filed under the name uncultured bacterium. Its description in RNAcentral is "partial 16S ribosomal RNA". It matches the Rfam family "Bacterial small subunit ribosomal RNA", at positions 524 to 776 of the family's 1533-position model. The record is from RNAcentral.